GUAGCGUAGCUCCUACUUCAACCAACACAUUCGGGACUACAGCCAAUCGAGGUUUUCAAUUUGGUAAUUCAAACACCUCUACAUCUAAUAACCCAUCUACAUUUGCUUUUAAUGCUGCUUCUUAACCUGCAAAACCUGAAGGAGCUUUUAGUUUUGGCUCGACCACUGCUGCAGCACAACCAUUCCAGUUUGGACAAGCACCAGGUUUGUCAUCACCUCAGCAAUUCAGCGGAGGACAACCUCGAGGAGCCUUUGGUUUUAGUUCGCCUCCACAGCAACAGCCAGGAAUGCAAGGAUCAAAUCAGGCAUUAUUUAGUAUUGGAACAGAACCAGCUGGGGAACGACGAAAAGCCAAAGCUGUCAGAAGAAGACAAUGAUGAC
Molecule: long non-coding RNA, 381 nt
Organism: Daktulosphaira vitifoliae (grape phylloxera)
Lineage: Eukaryota; Metazoa; Arthropoda; Insecta; Hemiptera; Phylloxeridae
Exons: 3
Source: RefSeq, a predicted model, not a curated record